GUGGUGAUGGAGCUGUUGAGGCAGUAGCUCUUAAAUUGUGGCGCUCUGCUCGCUGCGCCUUUCUGCAAACUUUAGACUGCAGUUUGUGUAAAUGUUUUAUGUUGAACUUUGAAAUCUGUAAUUGUUUGGCUCCAGGGUGAUAUUGGGUUCUCUCCUGCCUUAUAAAGCACUCUAAUAUAUUAUACUUUAUUGCCUUUCUUACUUAGUGAAAUUACUUAAAACGGACAAAUGAAUCCGGAAAACACUAAAUGGUGAAUAUUGAAUUAGCCUGCCAUGUUGUUCGUUUGAUGAAGUUUCUUUAUAUUUACAGAAAAAACUGGCUGAAUUGAGUCCUCGAAUUGUUGACUCUGAAGUGAAGCACCAACAGUCAGUUUCCUCCGUCACACCGUUUGAGCAACACCAUUCUUUGAUGCAUCCUGCUGUGGUUAGAGGCGUUGAUCCUCUUUUUGGGGUUCUUUAUAAGCAGGCAAGGCUCUGAAGCAUUGAGCAACAGGAGCCGCGCAUGAAAGCAAUACCUUUCACAGCGUUUUUUAAUACACACAUGUUGUGUAUCUAGAACAUCCCCACCUGCCGCCACCACCAACCGAACUCACAAUGCCCUCCAUCCGUCUUUCCCUCUUUAUCCUGGGUUUGGUUGUGGCUUGUGUCUCAGGUGAAAAAUCAAAUACCACUUCAAACCCCACAAAUUCAAACUCCAAAAUUUCAAACUCCGAAACUUCAAACUCCGAAACUUCAAAUGUAAAUGGCUCCACUACCGCCACUCAAACAUCCCUCAACGCCAUCACCACCACCGGAACCACCACCAAUGCCACCGAUGCCUCAAGCUACACACCGAGCAGCAGCGCCAUCUCGCCCUCGACAGCAACGCAGACCGGAUUCUCCAGUUCAAGUGGGGGAAGUGUCAAAACAACAAGCGCACCUAGAACCACGGACAAAAUGACAACAACUACCACCAAAGUACACAAAAAGGAGACAACCACCACUGCUAAGCCAGCUGAGACGGCGUCAGUGGACACCACCGGCAUUAUCAUCCUAGUUGUGAUCGGCGUCGUAAUCCUUGGAUUUGGAGUUUGCUGCUACUUACAGCGGAAUAGAAGAAGGCGGUACUCUGUGGACUUCACCUCCAGACCGGAUGAAGCCAACAUCCCUCUCAGCACCAUGGAGCCCGAGUUACAGGUCGAUGCCGCGCCUCAGAACGGACUGCAAACCUUUGAAAGGGAAGAAGCUAAGACAGAGAUGCGAGAACCAGAGGCCAAGCCUGAAGCAAAGGAGGAGCAGAAAGGUGAGGCUGAGGAAUCUCACGUUGGUCCCGGGGCUGAGUCUGCUGCCCCGGCGGCGACCCCAGAGAGCCCCGCGGACGAACCCAAAGCGGCCGCCGUUGAGCAGAGUCCCCCCGCGCCCGUGGAGCCAAGUGUGGACGAGAAAACCGACGAAGAAGGCGACGUCUCCAACAAGACCUCUGUGGAGUCGCUGAAAGAGACCAACGAGAACAACAGCAAUAAUGCCGACUUCAAUGCGACUGGAGAUGUGAUCAGCAUCAACUUCUGGGACGUUCCUCUCAAUAGUCCGCUGUGAGACAUUUCACCUAUCUGUGCUGUUCUUCAGGAACUUGAUUGAAGGAGUGACCACGACGGAGAAGGGCACGUCUGCUCGUACCGUGUGAGAUAUUUAGCGGGCUGUUUUCUCCUUGUUAGAAACAAAUUUACUGCAGCAGAGCAGCUUUUUCCCAGUUAAACGUUAGCUGAACUCUGAGUUUUAAGCAUUUUAGUGAUUUAACGGUGACUAUUUAGUUGGUCUAUAUACUAAAUGUGAUUACGUUUGGUACUGCAGAACAGUAAUACACGUUGAAUUUCAUCUCCCAAGCCAUUCAGCUUUUAUAAACUUAUAUAAACAUAUUAUACGUGGUUUCUAACACACUGAGAUGUAGUUUUAAGCAGCCAUAAUUUACUCUUUUUGUGGAAAUAUAUUAAUAGAGUAAAAUACAUUUGUAUUAAUAUACUUUACAUUAAUCAAACCUAACUGAUAUUCUUUCAUCACAUAACGAUAAACACAUUUGUAAAUAAUGAUGUAUAAAUAAGCAAGACGUUAUAAGAUUGUCAGAUUUAAAUCAGUGUUCUUUCUUAAAUUUAUGAUGUAAUGGUAUUUUGUAACUCAUGCAUUUUGAUUUUUUCAUGUGUUUCCCAUUCAGUAGUGUGAAGGUUUAUGCUAAAAAUUGCAAUGAAUGAUGAAAAGUAUUGUAAUUUGUCUUGAAUGUUUUUUGCAAUGAAUUUCCUUUACAGUUCAUAGGCGCCAUCUUGGCUAAUCUUAACCGACCACAUUACGUAAUGAAAAAAGUGACACAAACCAGCAGGUUGUUAACUGUAAAACAAAAUGAACAAACUAAAGAUGGGUCAAUGUUUCUUUUUACCAGAAAUCAUUUUGCUUAUAAAAUAAAAUAACUUGAUCAACAUUAUAUUCAUCAUGUAACCUUCAAUCCACAAUUGUUAUUCACAUUUCUGAUUAACAUCAAUAAACUGUAUACUCGCACAUCUUUGGCCUCUAAAAAUAAUCACCAUACAGUUUUUUCUGCUCACUUUCACCAGCUGUUCUUUUAGAUAUAAAAAUUGUAUCUGGUAGUAGACGUGUACAGUCAUUAUUGCUAAAUAAACCUUCAACAGAUGGAGGUUGAAUCUUAUUUUUGUUUUGUUUUAUGCAUUUUAUUUUUUGCUUUAUUUACUGUGUUUCAGAAAAAUGAUCUUACAAUACAGCACAAUUAUUUGGUGUGUGUCCAAUUAAAUAUGGAUCUAGACUCUUGUUUAAUUUCCUGAGCCAAAUAAUAUUUUUAUAAUUUCCAUUUACAGUAAUGUGUUGCCCAGUGUUUGGGUCUGAUCCAGCUUCUAUAUCCAGCCUAUUUCCACAGGCUUCCGCUCUCCUUUACAGACAAGUGAUGCUUUAAUCCACCAGUAGGCGGGUGAAAUGUUGCACUGAGCCUGCGGUGCAGCAGUGACGGCAAAAGCAGGUCUAAAUGUCGUAUGCUUACCGCUCAAACCUGACCGCAGUCAUGGACACCCUGCACCAAAUCAUCCAGUGCAGCAGAACACAAACCUGUUCCUCCUCGGAACUGGAUCCAAAUGUCUCAGGUCUCAGUAUCCUCUAUUUAUAAGCUGUGUAUAUUUACAACGGGCCGGAUGAUCAGGACGCUCGCGAGUAAUGAAGAGAAUGCGGGGGGAACUUUUAUCUUCUUCGGCUAUUCGGAGGAGUCAGGGAGUUUAUCAGAGAUGAAGGAUCUUGCUGACGUCACUUCUUGUUUUCAAAGAAUUGGUCAGAGCUACUUUUUUUGAGCUACUUCCCACAUUCUGCAGUUGAUCUGAUAGUUAACUGCACCAUCAUAAUGUUUGACGCAGGAAGGCAAGGCUUGGUGGUAAUUCUAUACGUCACAAUAGUGACUGAGGCUGAGCAAAUAUCCGGUAUAUUUGUUGGUGUCUUAAAAGGUGUUGUCAAUGCAUGUAGCAGUGUAGCAGUUCUAUGAGCUCACACAUGUUCAUCAAUGUCUCUCCUAUGAAUGUGUCCGGUAGCGUAGCUGUGACGCUGCAGAGGUUUACCUGCACACUCUGUACUGUCUCCAGGGGCAACCACAAACUCAGUGACACAUAUUGAGUGCCCUGCACAGCUGGACUGAGCCCUUCAUCAGCUGUAUGACUGCUUGCGAUGCUCUUGAGUGAGAAGAGUUAUGGACAAGACCCAGAAAGUGAUGAAUGAUGAUUGAAACUGUUACCGGGACGUAAAAACUGCAAGAAGAGGAAAAAGAGCAAAGCCUGUCCUCUCCCUGUGUGGCUUUCAGGGUUACGGGGAUCCACUCGGGCUUUGUUUUCCAUCUAUCAUGAGGUUGUUACCGCCUGCUGUCAUCAUUGGCUGCCCCUGGAUGAAGAGUUGAUCCACGGGCAGCGCGGCUUGGAAUCGACCCAACUUCCCUUUCUGUUUAGACGCUCAUUAGAGGGAUGUUGCCUCUUUGACAUAUAAACUGGACAAAGUCAAACUAAUGGCUUAAUGAAUGCCAUGCUGCAGCCCGAGAAAAUAUGCAUUUAGUAGCUGUUUCCUUUUCCAUAUCAACGACCACCCACAGCUGGGGAGAAUUCAUUUCUUACACAUUCGGGAAUCAAUAUUUGCAUACGCUUUUUUAAAGAUGAUCCAUGUCUGAUUCUUUUAGUACAAAGGGUAUAAUUUUUUUGGGAAAACACUCCUUCUAUAUCAGAAGAAUGUGGGUGAAACCAGGAAUAACAGUAUAAAAAGUAUAAAAAGUAUGUUUAUUUAUAUAGUUACAGUACAUACUGUGGUGUGUGUGUCUCUGUUUUUAUUCUUGGCAGGUCAAGUGAGGAGGGCAAGAUAUAUUUAGGGGAUGCAAUGAAAAGUGUGAUACACAAUGUCUGUAUACAAAUGGCAUCUUUGCUAUUUGGCCACGCUUCAGAGUGUUCGUAGUAUUUUCCUAAAAGCAUUAUACACUCAAAUAAAAAGAAGAACCUUCACUAAGUAAUGAUUGAAAUUUUUAUAGUAGAUAUCAAACCAGACUUAGAUAAUUAUGUGAUUACGGUGUUCCAAAUAUUUUCAGACAAAAUACUUUCUUUCUUGCAUUCUUGUGUUUACAGAUUAUUGAUCAUAAGCACUUUAAUAGUUAUAUAGUUUUUAGAAAGAUAUUAGAAAAGGUAACUGUAUAUGAGAAUGAUCCAGCUAUGCAGUAAUACAUCAUGUGAUCAAGUGACUGUAAAAGUUAAAAAAGAAUGUAAACCAUUGUGUUUGGAAGAAACGUUCAAGCCGUGCACGCGGUCUGUGUUCGGCACAACUCAAAAGAUGAUCCAUAAAAGGCUACUAGGUAUUUUUAUCUUAACAUGACCUUGUGCACCGCACUCAGUACACAUUCUCACAUUCUCCCUGCAUCCAGUGCUUGAUUUCUCCAUACUGCGCUGUGUCAGUGUCACUGCAGUAAAAUCUUAUUCCCUCUCAAUUCUGAGAUACCCAAGAUUGGACACUGCAGGGUUUAGGUCUUAAGUCAAUGGACGGCCUUUGGCCCAGUGACGAUGUGGAAUUGUUGCUACAGAACUUAUUCUUCAAGUGCCUGGGCGGUAUUUUCAACUACGUUGUCCUUUCCUUGUGUGUGUGUGUGUGUGUGUGUGUGUGUGUGUGUGUGAGACCAAACACCUGUCCAGCCUUCUGUGUGGGACUAACGGCCAGUCCGGUGCCGAGCUGUCCCACCAACUCGACCUCAGAUGCACUUGUGAGAAGGACAC
Long non-coding RNA from Gasterosteus aculeatus aculeatus (three-spined stickleback), 5261 nucleotides. The record is from Ensembl. NCBI's taxonomy places the organism in Eukaryota, Metazoa, Chordata, Actinopteri, Perciformes, Gasterosteidae.